Molecule: transfer RNA, 67 nt
Filed under: Pseudocalotes microlepis (Burmese false bloodsucker)
Lineage: Eukaryota; Metazoa; Chordata; Lepidosauria; Squamata; Agamidae
Description: tRNA-Arg
Source: RNAcentral
AAGAAAUUAGUUUAACUAAAACAGCUACCUUCGAACUAGCAACCUCAGAAUAGUCCUGAAUUUCUAA